AGCGAACGCCGGCGGCAGGCUUAACACAUGCAAGUCGAGCGGGCACCUUCGGGUGUCAGCGGCGGACGGGUGAGUAACGCGUGGGAACGUGCCCUCUGGUUCGGAAUAACUCAGGGAAACUUGAGCUAAUACCGGAUACGCCCUUUUGGGGAAAGGCUUGCUGCCGGAGGAUCGGCCCGCGUCUGAUUAGCUAGUUGGUGAGGUAACGGCUCACCAAGGCGACGAUCAGUAGCUGGUCUGAGAGGAUGAUCAGCCACACUGGGACUGAGACACGGCCCAGACUCCUACGGGAGGCAGCAGUGGGGAAUAUUGGACAAUGGGCGCAAGCCUGAUCCAGCCAUGCCGCGUGAGUGAUGAAGGCCUUAGGGUUGUAAAGCUCUUUUAUCCGGGACGAUAAUGACGGUACCGGAGGAAUAAGCCCCGGCUAACUUCGUG
This 435-nucleotide ribosomal RNA is filed under the name uncultured bacterium. Its description in RNAcentral is "partial 16S ribosomal RNA". It matches the Rfam family "Bacterial small subunit ribosomal RNA", at positions 29 to 507 of the family's 1533-position model. The record is from RNAcentral.